UUUUAUGGAGAGUUUGAUCCUGGCUCAGGAUGAACGCUGGCGGCGUGCCUAAUACAUGCAAGUCGAGCGAACGGACGAGAAGCUUGCUUCUCUGAUGUUAGCGGCGGACGGGUGAGUAACACGUGGAUAACCUACCUAUAAGACUGGGAUAACUUCGGGAAACCGGAGCUAAUACCGGGUAAUAUUUUUAACCGCAUGGUUCAAAAGUGAAAGACGGUCUUG
RNAcentral lists this ribosomal RNA (222 nucleotides) under Staphylococcus aureus. Its description in RNAcentral is "partial 16S ribosomal RNA". It matches the Rfam family "Bacterial small subunit ribosomal RNA", at positions 1 to 214 of the family's 1533-position model. The record is from RNAcentral. Lineage: Bacteria; Bacillati; Bacillota; Bacilli; Caryophanales; Staphylococcaceae.